This 253-nucleotide ribosomal RNA is filed under the name uncultured bacterium. RNAcentral's name for it is "partial 16S ribosomal RNA". It matches the Rfam family "Bacterial small subunit ribosomal RNA", at positions 524 to 776 of the family's 1533-position model. The record is from RNAcentral.
GACGAACCGAGCGAACGUUGUUCGGAAUCACUGGGCUUAAAGGGCGCGUAGGCGGGCUGUAAAGUCUGGGGUGAAAUCCCGCGGCUCAACCGUGGAACUGCCUCAGAUACUGAUGGCCUCGAGGGAGGUAGGGGCGAGCGGAACUAGUGGUGGAGCGGUGAAAUGCGUUGAUAUCAUUAGGAACUCCGGUGGCGAAGGCGGCUCGCUGGACCUUUUCUGACGCUGAGGCGCGAAAGCUAGGGGAGCAAACGGG